This 255-nucleotide ribosomal RNA is filed under the name uncultured bacterium. Its description in RNAcentral is "partial 16S ribosomal RNA". It matches the Rfam family "Bacterial small subunit ribosomal RNA", at positions 524 to 776 of the family's 1533-position model. The record is from RNAcentral.
UACAGAGGUCCCGAGCGUUUGUUCGGAUUCAUUGGGCGUAAAGGGUGCGUAGGUGGCGCCGUAAGUGGGGUGUGAAAUCCCGGGGGCUUAACCCCGGGACUGCAUUCCAUACUGCGGUGCUUGAGGACUGGAGAGGAGACUGGAAUUUACGGUGUAGCAGUGAAAUGCGUAGAGAUCGUAAGGAAGACCAGUGGCGAAGGCGGGUCUCUGGACAGUUCCUGACACUGAGGCACGAAGGCCAGGGGAGCAAACGGG